Long non-coding RNA from Nanorana parkeri, 102 nucleotides. RefSeq lists it as uncharacterized. The record is from RefSeq and is a predicted model, not a curated record. The transcript has 3 exons. NCBI's taxonomy places the organism in Eukaryota, Metazoa, Chordata, Amphibia, Anura, Dicroglossidae.
CAUAGUUACAUAGUAGGCAAGGUUAAAUAAAAAACACUGGUCGAUCUACUUCAACCUAUGUGUAUAUGCAUGUGUGUGUGUGUGUGUGUGUGUGCGUGUGUG